UGUGUACUUGGCAGUCUGUCUGUGUACUUGGCAGUCUGUCUGUAUUUAGCAGACUGCUGAAUACACACACAGACUGCUGAGUACACAGUCUGCUGA
Pelobates cultripes (western spadefoot toad) is the source of this 96-nucleotide non-coding RNA. Lineage: Eukaryota; Metazoa; Chordata; Amphibia; Anura; Pelobatidae. The record is from the annotation of a GenBank genome assembly.